Bubalus bubalis (water buffalo) is the source of this 567-nucleotide long non-coding RNA. RefSeq lists it as uncharacterized. Lineage: Eukaryota; Metazoa; Chordata; Mammalia; Artiodactyla; Bovidae. The transcript is spliced from 2 exons. The record is from RefSeq and is a predicted model, not a curated record.
GAGUCGGACGUGACUGAGCAACUUUCACUUUUACUUCCUGUUAUACCUUGCCAUCACACAGUUCCUAUUUCUCAUAAAUAGCUUCAUAAAAAUGAGACUGUCUGUAAGUCACUAAGGGUGCACUAAAUCAUAAGGCAUCACAGAAUGAAGAAGAAGUAGGAGCAUUUGUUCACAACUGUGACCUUUCCAGUCAUGCUGGGAAAGCAGAGAGCAGGCCUGUGGAGGUACGCUUACCAAAGAGGUCAUGCCAUCGCAAUUAACGGAAAGUCACAGAUGGUGAGCUGUACGUGAUGGGCAUACUCUCCCUGAGACAUUUUAAGCAAACUGAUGCUCUUCUGGAUGGCUGUUUUGACUAUACCUGUGAGGACCUUAAUAUUGUGUCUUGAUGUAUAUUUGAUAUGAAGAAUGGCAUAUGUUGAUAAGCACAAAGCAGUCAUUGAUUUCUGGACCCAGACACACUGGAAAGCAUCACAAAUCGUAUGACGGGACUGGCAAGACUCAGUGAUUUAUCUAAAGGAUGUUCAGAAAUUAACGUGUCAAUAAAACUCUUUGGUGGCUAUAAAUCCA